Molecule: small nuclear RNA, 74 nt
Filed under: Fukomys damarensis (Damara mole-rat)
Lineage: Eukaryota; Metazoa; Chordata; Mammalia; Rodentia; Bathyergidae
Description: U4 spliceosomal RNA
Rfam family: U4 spliceosomal RNA
About the family: U4 small nuclear RNA (U4 snRNA) is a component of the major U2-dependent spliceosome.
Source: Rfam by way of RNAcentral
AGCUUUGCACAGUGGCAGUAUCGUAGCCAGUGAGGUUUAUCCGAGGUGCAAUUAUUGCCAAAAGACUAUUGCCA